AACCUGGUUGAUCCUGCCAGUAGUCAUAUGCUUGUCUCAAAGACUAAGCCAUGCAUGUCUAAGUAUAAAUGCUAUACAAUGAAACUGCGAAUGGCUCAUUAAAACAGUUAUAGUUUAUUUGGUAAUCGAAUUUACAUGGAUAACCGUGGUAAUUCUAGAGCUAAUACAUGCUAUUAAGCCUGACUUCUUGAAAGGCCGUAUUUAUUAGAUAACAGACCAAUAUUCCUCGUGUCUAUUGUGGUGAAUCAUAGUAACUUUUCGGAUCGCAUGGGUUUUGCCCGCGACAAACCAUUCAAGUUUCUGCCCCAUCAGCUUUCGAUGGUAGUGUAUUGGACUACCAUGGCUUUCACGGGUAACGGAGGAUUAGGGUUCGAUU
Molecule: ribosomal RNA, 376 nt
Filed under: uncultured marine eukaryote
Lineage: Eukaryota
Description: SSU rRNA
Rfam family: Eukaryotic small subunit ribosomal RNA
Source: RNAcentral